GAUGAACGCUGGCGGCGUGCCUAACACAUGCAAGUCGAGCGACGGACCAGGGCUUGCCCUGGGGUAAAGCUGCGGACGGGCGAGUAACACAUAGGUAUCGUACCCCCAUUACCGGGUGAACUCGCGGCAACACGGGCUAAUACAGACCGUACAAUCCUCUGAUGCGGGAGGCGCGUAAGGGAAGCUCGGUCCUCCUGACCGGGAUCGGCGGUCCCGCGCUGUAUUAGUUGGUUGGUGAGGUAACGGCCUACCAAGGCAACGAUGCGUAGCCGAUCUGAGAGGAUGAUCAGCCACACUGGAACUGAGACACGGUCCAGACUCCUACGGGAGGCAGCAGUGGGGAAUCUUGCGCAAAGGGCGAAAGCGUGACGCAGCAACACCGCGUGGGGGAAGAAGGCCUUCGGGUUGUAAACCCCUUUUAGGAGGGACGAAGGGCGGUCGGUGAAUAGCCGUGCAGGUUGACGGUACCUACACAAGAAGCCCCGGCUAACUACGUG
RNAcentral lists this ribosomal RNA (497 nucleotides) under uncultured bacterium. RNAcentral's name for it is "partial 16S ribosomal RNA". It matches the Rfam family "Bacterial small subunit ribosomal RNA", at positions 28 to 507 of the family's 1533-position model. The record is from RNAcentral.